GCCUCCAUGGGAUAAUGGUACUGACCCCUCAAAGUGAGCUUCGGCUCAUUAGAUGUGGUCGAGGGUUCGAAUACCUCUGAGGGUUCAAUUCCCUCUGGAGGCA
Non-coding RNA from Mycena epipterygia, 103 nucleotides. Lineage: Eukaryota; Fungi; Basidiomycota; Agaricomycetes; Agaricales; Mycenaceae. The record is from the annotation of a GenBank genome assembly.